AUUGAACGCUGGCGGCAGGCCUAACACAUGCAAGUCGAGCGGAUGAAGGGAGCUUGCUCCUGGAUUCAGCGGCGGACGGGUGAGUAAUGCCUAGGAAUCUGCCUGGUAGUGGGGGAUAACGUCCGGAAACGGGCGCUAAUACCGCAUACGUCCUGAGGGAGAAAGUGGGGGAUCUUCGGACCUCACGCUAUCAGAUGAGCCUAGGUCGGAUUAGCUAGUUGGUGGGGUAAAGGCCUACCAAGGCGACGAUCCGUAACUGGUCUGAGAGGAUGAUCAGUCACACUGGAACUGAGACACGGUCCAGACUCCUACGGGAGGCAGCAGUGGGGAAUAUUGGACAAUGGGCGAAAGCCUGAUCCAGCCAUGCCGCGUGUGUGAAGAAGGUCUUCGGAUUGUAAAGCACUGUUAGUUGGGAGGAAGGGCAGUAAGUUAAUACCUGGCUGUUUUGACGGUACCAACAGAAUAAGCACCGGCUAACUUCGUG
Molecule: ribosomal RNA, 484 nt
Filed under: uncultured bacterium
Lineage: Bacteria
Description: partial 16S ribosomal RNA
Rfam family: Bacterial small subunit ribosomal RNA
Source: RNAcentral